Long non-coding RNA from Raphanus sativus (radish), 1089 nucleotides. RefSeq lists it as uncharacterized. NCBI's taxonomy places the organism in Eukaryota, Viridiplantae, Streptophyta, Magnoliopsida, Brassicales, Brassicaceae. The record is from RefSeq and is a predicted model, not a curated record. The transcript has 4 exons.
CCCAAACGAUAUAGCAACUGUAACCAGUCUACGUGGCAUUAGGUUUUCUCUUCCCUUCUUCCUCUUCCGGCAGAGACCUCACCGACGAUAUUCCAGAGAAAGUAGACGCCUUUAAUUCGUUCUUUAUUUUGAGUUUACCCUUAAUUAAUCCACUCCGCUCACUUAAAGAUUUCUAUCUACCUCUUCGUUUCCACUGUAACCGCCUGGAGCUCCAGCUAUUAAUAUCGGACCUUCCUAGCAUGCACAGUCCAAAUCAAACGAUAUCCAGAAACAUACAAUUUCCUAGCAGCAACAGAUUCCGGUGGCAAAUUCAUACACUCUCCUUGCCGAUUUGAGAGCCGGCCGAUGGUGAGAGACAAAGAAUAUCAAAACUGAUUCCUUUGUUAGCAUAUCAUAUGAAAAAUGAGGAAUUUAAUUACAUGACACGGCAUACAAAUAAGGCAUUAUUGAAGUGGGGACAAUCAUUGCAAGCUACACGAUGAAGCGAAAAGCAAGCCCUUUGAAUAGGAGAUGCGCAUGAUAUGUGAGGAGUCAAAUGGGAGGACGAAUGGUGGUUAAAGAAAUGAUGUGCUAAAGUUCCCGUAAACCUUAAAAUUGAUAUUAUAGCCAAGGUUGAUGCAACAUACUUACUUGGCUAUAAUAUAGCAACCUCGAGAUUGCUCUAUGGAAGAAUUUGAGGUUUCCAAGUUCUUGAGAUGUUAAAACCCAUUAUGUAUUACAAUCCAUGUAGCAAUAUUAGCAGCCAAGUGGUCUCUUCAAGUCCUUAGUAACAAUGCAUGGCUCUUAGCUCGCAAAUGCCCUCAAGAUGUAGAAAAAGACUAGCCUUUUUUUAUGGGAAGAGAACAGUUCGAGUCUGUGAUGUGUACGAUCAUGGAAGGCAAAGAGAGGGUCGAUGACUUUCGAUCGUGCCUCUCUGCACGUGUCGCUCCACAUUAAUUUUGUUUUGUAUGGUUUGCAUCAUGUGAAAUGGGCCAUGUGUUGUGUCUGAAUAUCUAUUGAGCUCUUAGGUUCUUUUGCUUAAAGAUCCAGAUGUUAAUAGGGUUUCUGCUAUUUUGAUAUUGGAAAUACCAAGCAGAAAACAAACGUACC